Molecule: long non-coding RNA, 474 nt
Filed under: Citrus x clementina
Lineage: Eukaryota; Viridiplantae; Streptophyta; Magnoliopsida; Sapindales; Rutaceae
Description: Citrus clementina (C. clementina) long non-coding RNA (CCLE_LNC005607)
Source: RNAcentral
GGUUCUAUUUUUUCCAUUUUUGAUUGCUAAUUGCUGCACUUGGUGGAUAAAUCAUUGUUUUCUUGUUGGUUAGACUCUAGUAUACUAAAAGAUGGUAUCAGAAGUAUUUUGUAAAUGCCUGGGUCUGAAAUUUAGUAUAUUACAUUUGCCCAUCCCUGAGGUAGUUCUGUGUUUGUUUGGUAGAACAUAUAUGAAACCUAGGUUUUCAGAACAUACAUGCAACCUAGAUUUUCAGUAAUCAGAAACAAUGAGAAAAUAAUUCUGCUUUUCACCUGCUACUGUUAUGGAUUGUUCAUUCAAGGAGACAUAUGAUUAAAGGUGUAGUCUUAUCUUUUGAUAAAUAGUUAUUAAAUGUCUGGAAUUGUGAACAUAAUUACUAGAUUGAAUUGCUUUAUUUCAUAAUGGCAUGGAAUUUAUCAGAACUUGCUCAUUUAAGGAGUUAGUCAUCGAAAAGGUUUUUGAUACAAUAAGCUG